RNAcentral lists this ribosomal RNA (253 nucleotides) under uncultured bacterium. RNAcentral describes it as "partial 16S ribosomal RNA". It matches the Rfam family "Bacterial small subunit ribosomal RNA", at positions 524 to 776 of the family's 1533-position model. The record is from RNAcentral.
UACGUAGGGUGCGAGCGUUAAUCGGAAUUACUGGGCGUAAAGCGUGCGCAGGCGGUUGUGUAAGACAGGUGUGAAAUCCCCGGGCUUAACCUGGGAAUUGCAUUUGUGACUGCACGGCUAGAGUUUGGCAGAGGGGGGUAGAAUUCCACGUGUAGCAGUGAAAUGCGUAGAUAUGUGGAGGAAUACCGAUGGCGAAGGCAGCCCCCUGGGUCAAGACUGACGCUCAUGCACGAAAGCGUGGGGAGCAAACAGG